Molecule: transfer RNA, 72 nt
Filed under: Pangasianodon gigas (Mekong giant catfish)
Lineage: Eukaryota; Metazoa; Chordata; Actinopteri; Siluriformes; Pangasiidae
Description: tRNA-Glu
Rfam family: tRNA
About the family: Transfer RNA (tRNA) molecules are approximately 80 nucleotides in length. Their secondary structure includes four short double-helical elements and three loops (D, anti-codon, and T loops).
Source: RNAcentral
UCCCUGGAGGACUAGUGCUUAGGCCUCAGUGCUCUCACUGCUGCAGCCCGGGUUCGAAUCCUGGCCAGGGAA